This 421-nucleotide ribosomal RNA is filed under the name uncultured bacterium. RNAcentral's name for it is "bacterial SSU rRNA". It matches the Rfam family "Bacterial small subunit ribosomal RNA", at positions 30 to 452 of the family's 1533-position model. The record is from RNAcentral.
AUUGAACGCUGGCGGCAUGCUUUACACAUGCAAGUCGAACGGCAGCACGGGGCAACCUGGUGGCGAGUGGCGAACGGGUGAGUAAUGCAUCGGAACGUGCCAUUGAGUGGGGGAUAACGUAGCGAAAGUUGCGCUAAUACCGCAUAUUCUGUGAGCAGGAAAGCAGGGGACCGCAAGGCCUUGCGCUCUUUGAGCGGCCGAUGUCAGAUUAGCUAGUUGGUGAGGUAACGGCUUACCAAGGCGACGAUCUGUAGCGGGUCUGAGAGGAUGAUCCGCCACACUGGAACUGAGACACGGUCCAGACUCCUACGGGAGGCAGCAGUGGGGAAUUUUGGACAAUGGGCGCAAGCCUGAUCCAGCCAUGCCGCGUGAGUGAAGAAGGCCUCGGUUGUAAGGUACUCUUUCGGUCCGGGAACGGAAA